UGGCCUGGGGUUGCUGAUAGCCAUUCUACCUCCACAUGGAACUAGAAAAUAAACCACCACAGAAAAAGCAGAAAUGCAAAAUGAACUAGGUCGUGUCCGAAUGACGUUGUUUGACCCCUGACUCCAGCCUGACCCGGACUUUUCAAUUCCUUGAGCUAAUACAUUCCCCCUUCUUGCUGAAGUCAUGCCCUUUAGGUACGGUGCUGAGUACCCAUGAACCUUAUCUCUGAUCACCACUGCAACUCACUCUCACAGCAUGGAUCAGCAAGUGGGGCUCAGAGAAGUCUGUGAGCAGCCACGUUGUGAGCAGUCCUAAGGAAAGGCCCAAAUAGCAAGAAGUAGAAACUUCCUGACAACAGCCAGGUGAGUAAGCUUGGAAGUGAAUCCUCCAGUUUCAGUCCAGAG
Symphalangus syndactylus (siamang) is the source of this 405-nucleotide long non-coding RNA. RefSeq lists it as uncharacterized. NCBI's taxonomy places the organism in Eukaryota, Metazoa, Chordata, Mammalia, Primates, Hylobatidae. The record is from RefSeq and is a predicted model, not a curated record.